RNAcentral lists this ribosomal RNA (492 nucleotides) under uncultured bacterium. Its description in RNAcentral is "partial 16S ribosomal RNA". It matches the Rfam family "Bacterial small subunit ribosomal RNA", at positions 29 to 507 of the family's 1533-position model. The record is from RNAcentral.
AGUGAACGCUGGCGGUAGGCCUAACACAUGCCAGUCGAACGGCAGCACAGUAAUAGCUUGCUCUUACGGGUGGCGAGUGGCGGACGGGUGAGGAAUACAUCGGAAUCUACUUUUUCGUGGGUGAUAACGUAGGGAAACUUACGCUAAUACCGCAUACGACCUACGGGUGAAAGCAGGGGAUCUUCGGACCUUGCGCGAUUGAAUGAGCCGAUGUCGGAUUAGCUAGUUGGCGGGGGAAAGGCCCACCAAGGCGACGAUCCGUAGCUGGUCUGAGAGGAUGAUCAGCCACACUGGAACUGAGACACGGUCCAGACUACUACGGGAGGCAGCAGUGGGGAAUAUUAGACAAUGGGCGCAAGCCUGAUCCAGCCAUACCGCGUGGGUGAAGAAGGCCUUCGGGUUUUAAAGCCCUUUUGUUGGGAAAGAAAAGCAGCAGGUUAAUACCCCGCUGUUCUGACGGUACCCAAAGAAUAAGCACCGGCUAACUUCGUG